Molecule: unclassified non-coding RNA, 400 nt
Filed under: uncultured bacterium
Lineage: Bacteria
Description: contains 16S-23S intergenic spacer region
Rfam family: 5.8S ribosomal RNA (bases 2-127)
Source: RNAcentral
AUGCAUCGAUGAAGAACGCAGCGAAAUGCGAUACGUAAUGUGAAUUGCAGAAUUCAGUGAAUCAUCGAAUCUUUGAACGCAUAUUGCGCUCUUUGGUAUUCCGAAGAGCAUGCUUGUUUGAGUAUCAGUAAACACCUCAAAGCUUUUGGAUUUUUUAAUCGAAAAGCUUUGGACUUGAGCAAUCCCAACACCAAUCUUUUUGAGAUCGGUGGCGGGUUGCUUGAAAUGCAGGUGCAGCUGGACAUUCUCCUGAGCUAAAAGCAUAUUCAUUUAGUCCCGUCAAACGGAUUAUUACUUUUGCUGCAGCUAACAUAAAGGGAGUUUGACCGUAUUGGCUGACUGAUGCAGGAUUUCACAAGGGUCGGCAACGAUUCUUGUUAAACUCGAUCUCAAAUCAAGU